RNAcentral lists this ribosomal RNA (254 nucleotides) under uncultured prokaryote. RNAcentral's name for it is "partial 16S ribosomal RNA". It matches the Rfam family "Bacterial small subunit ribosomal RNA", at positions 522 to 775 of the family's 1533-position model. The record is from RNAcentral.
AAGACGAACCGUGCGAACGUUGUUCGGAUUCACUGGGCUUAAAGGGCGCGUAGGCGGGCAAGCAAGUCCGGGGUGAAAGCCUCCGGCUCAACCGGAGAAGUGCCUUGGAAACUGCUUGUCUAGAGGGAGGUAGGGGUUGCCGGAACUUCCGGUGGAGCGGUGAAAUGCGUUGAUAUCGGAAGGAACGCCGGUGGCGAAAGCGAGCAACUGGAUCUCUUCUGACGCUGAGGCGCGAAAGCUAGGGGAGCAAACGG